This 318-nucleotide ribosomal RNA is filed under the name uncultured Pelagibacterales bacterium. RNAcentral describes it as "SSU rRNA". It matches the Rfam family "Bacterial small subunit ribosomal RNA", at positions 29 to 367 of the family's 1533-position model. The record is from RNAcentral. Lineage: Bacteria; Pseudomonadati; Pseudomonadota; Alphaproteobacteria; Candidatus Pelagibacterales.
ACGAACGCUGGCGGCAGGCCUAACACAUGCAAGCCGAACGAUAAGCUUCUUCGGAAGUGGACAGUGGCAGACGGGUGAGUAACAUGUAGGUAUCUGCCCUUUGGCCUGGAAUAACACGAGGAAACUUGUGCUAAUACCGGAUAAGUCUUCACGGAGAAAGCUUUAUGCACCAUUGGAUGAGCCUGCACUUGAUUAGUUUGUUGGUAGGGUAAUGGCCUACCAAGACUGUGAUCAAUAGCUGAUUUGAGAGGAUGAUCAGCCACAUUGGGACUGAGACACGGCCCAAACUCCUACGGGAGCAGCAGUGGGGAAUCUUGC